GCUAGAGGUGGUGGCUUAUUCCUGUAAUCCCUCUCUCUGGGAGGCUGAGGAUGACAGAUCUCUUGAGUUUGGGAGUUCUAAGCUGCAGUAGGUGAUGUCGAUCAGGUGUCCACACUGAGUUCAACAGCUCCUGGACUGUCUAAGGGCCUAUAAAUUGGUCCAGGAGGGAAAACAGAGCAGAUCAAAGCUUUCAUGUUGAUUAGAAUGAGAUCAGAUUGUGCGUAGCUGCUGGAUUUCUAGUCUAGGUGAGAUAAAGAAAUCCAUCCUUU
This 269-nucleotide non-coding RNA is filed under the name Phascolarctos cinereus (koala). Lineage: Eukaryota; Metazoa; Chordata; Mammalia; Diprotodontia; Phascolarctidae. The record is from RNAcentral.